AAUCGGACUCCGAUCAUUCAACAAGCAACAGAGGAAAUACCGUAUGAUUUUGCAAGCUUAUUGUGGGAAGGAAAAGUUCCAUAUGGUCAAUGUCUUGAACUUAUUGAUGAUGACUUAUGCAACUGCAUGAGUCUGAAUCUUUUUCGAACACAAGAGAAUUGAUGGAGUGAUAUAAGAAGGUUUCUUUGUUAAUUGAUUAUUCUCUUCCGCUUACAGGGGAUAGCGCUAAGAAUAAGUGCUUUGAUGAACUAAUAGGUGUUUGAAUUUUGUGUUUACUUUGCUCUGCAUAGGGUUCCUUCAGUUUUUUGUAUUCUUUUACUUCGCUCAGUAAUUAUUUUAUUUUCAAGAUAAGAAUACAAGCUGCAUCUGCAUUGGCUACCCUACCAACAAUAGUGGGUGAAUCAGUAAUAACAAAACUAUUGAGAUAAGUUUUAAAGCUUAUUGAGAAAUAUUGAUUGUGUUUCUAUAAAUACUUUACCGUUUAAUUUUGUAAAAAACCUUCAUAUUUAAUUUUCAGAUAUGGAUCCAAUGAACAACAGUCCUUCAUUUUUAAAGCUUAUUCAGGAAGAUGACCAGAUA
Long non-coding RNA from Helianthus annuus (common sunflower), 579 nucleotides. RefSeq lists it as uncharacterized. The transcript is spliced from 4 exons. The record is from RefSeq and is a predicted model, not a curated record. Lineage: Eukaryota; Viridiplantae; Streptophyta; Magnoliopsida; Asterales; Asteraceae.